GGAGAAAUUAUUGUGAGACAUAAUGAUUAUCUGGGCAUUUUAAUGAACGAAUUUAUGUAAGCUCCCAACCAACCAAGGAUUCAAAAGCGAUAUGAUAAGAGGGUCCCUACAAAGUCGACCAGAAACAGAUAGGAAUAGACUAUUGUCCCAUCAGCAGUAGAAGAUGCGUCUAUGCCAAACACCAUAGACGCCGGAUUGCUGGCACUUCUGACUGGCUUUGGAAUGGGUCAUUAUCAGUCAUUGAUGUUUAUAUCAAGAAUACAACAACAAUGAGAGUUGUAGCCUAUACAAAAGGUGCAAACGGACGCUACCAAAGCCUGAUUGAUAUUACGCGACCAUUCUGUUCAUGGUUGCGGCUUGUAGAACCAUCGAUGAACGAUUUUUUGGAACCAUGCUGGCUACGUUUACAAAUGUUAUUUUAUUUUUCCGGGCUUUUAUGAAACAAAAGACUUCUUUCUACAACCGCAGAAGCAUUUCCAGCUAGCUGGAGUUCCAGUUCUACCCUAUGGAUCUUACAAAAUUGAAUUCCGCAUCAACAAUGAUAUCAGAAUCAACUGUUUUUGUGGUGUAUUGUUCAUUGAUUUGGUUCCAGAUAUAGAUGCCAUACGAAAUAGAACAAUACAACAUAACCAAUUUUUCAAUAAUUCAACAUAUCCUUUUUGAACAUCUAGAUCUUCGGGUGACAACAUAUGUGGGCUAUUAUAGUCUGAUUAAAACAAGUUGUAAAUGUGCUACUAGAUGACAAAAAAGAUACAGUAGGAUAUCCACGAGGACAUAUUGUGCAGAGUUGCGACCUUCAAUUGCAAGACCAUAUCACUUAAUGUAUUCAAUGAGACAACCCUCUGUAUCAACUGCCUAGUCAAAUUGAAUGUAUCCAUUGUUCAUUCUCUUUAUAUAAUUAAGGAGACUUGAUGCUUAAUUAGACAUAAUUAAUUAGACUUGAUGCUUGAAGAAGAUCGACAUCCUCAAACCAAAUAAUGUUUUCUAAACUGGAUUAAAUAAAUUGAUUAGCUACAAC
This 1018-nucleotide unclassified non-coding RNA is filed under the name Nilaparvata lugens (brown planthopper). RNAcentral describes it as "uncharacterized LOC120352459, transcript variant X1". Lineage: Eukaryota; Metazoa; Arthropoda; Insecta; Hemiptera; Delphacidae. The record is from RNAcentral.